GUGGGGCAGGGAGAUGUGGGGCAGGGAGAUGUGGGGCAGGGAGAUGUGGGGCAGGAUGUGGGGCAGGGAGAUGUGGGGCAGGGAGAUGUGGGGCAGGGAGAUGUGGGGCAGUUCUGCCCCCCAGAGUCACCAAAAACCCCCAAAAAUGGGUGAAAAUCCCACGGAAACGCGAAUUUUGGAGACGAUUUUGGCCGAUUUUGCUCCUUUUCGCCCCAAAUCUGGGAUUUCUGUGGGGCUCAGGGGUUACCUGGGGGACAGGUGAGCUCAGGUGGGACCCUGGCUGAGCCCAGGUGUCCCCAGGUGUAUCUCAGGUGUCCCCAGGUGUCCCCAGGUGUGCUCAGGUGUCCCCAGGUGUAUCUCAGGUGUAUUUCAGGUAUCUCAGGUGUGCCCAGGUGACCCCAGGUGCCGUUCCAGAGUACGUGGAGCACCUGAAGGAUGAGGCCCGGGUGUGCCCAGGUACCCCAGGUGUCCCCAGGUGUCCCCAGGUGUAUCUCAGGUGUAUCCCAGGUAUCUCAGGUGUCCCCAGGUGUCCCCAGGUGUCCCCAGGUGUGUUCAGGUGUCUCUCAGGUGUACCCAGGUGUAUCACAGGUAUCUCAGGUGUCCCCAGGUGUACCCCAGACUCACCUGGCAGGUGUCGGCCCCGCCCCUCGGGUCCCCAGCACACACCAUGUCGUCCCGGAUCCUCCGCGGGGGCAGCGCCGGGCCCAGGUCGGUUCCGUAGAGGCGGCGACACAGAGAGAGCGGCAACAGCGGCACCUGCAGCUCCCGGAGCCGCCGGGGGCGCUCUGAGUGACCAGAGAGUGACCACUGAGUGACCAACUGACCACUGACCCACCCUGAGUGACCCCUGAGUGACCACUGAGUGACCACUGACCACACUGACCACACAGAGCCAGCGGCAACAGCGGCACCUGCAGCUCCCGGAGCCGCCGGGGGCGCUCUGAGUGACCAGAGUGACCACUGAGUGACCACUGACCCACCCUGAGUGACCACUGAGUGACCCCUGAGUGACCACUGACCCACCCUGAGUGACCACUGAGUGACCACUGACCACACAAAGAGAGCGGCAACAGCGGCACCUGCAGCUCCCGGAGCCGCCGGGGGCGCUCUGAGUGACCAGAGAGUGACCAACUGACCACUGAGUGACCACUGAGUGACCACUGAGUGACCACUGACCCACCCUGAGUGACCACUGACUGCACUGACCACACUGACCACUGACCAUUGAGUGACCCUGAGUGACCAACUGACCACUGAGUGACCAUUGACUGACCACUGAGU
RNAcentral lists this long non-coding RNA (1281 nucleotides) under Cyanistes caeruleus (blue tit). RNAcentral describes it as "lncRNA (ENSCCEG00000014506.1)". The record is from RNAcentral. Lineage: Eukaryota; Metazoa; Chordata; Aves; Passeriformes; Paridae.